UACGUAGGGACCAAGCGUUGUUCGGAUUUACUGGGCGUAAAGGGCGCGUAGGCGGCAAUUUAAGUCAUCUGUGAAAUCUCCGGGCUUAACUCGGAAUGGUCAGGUGAUACUGCUUUGCUGGAGUGCAGAAGGGGCAAUCGGAAUUCUUGGUGUAGCGGUGAAAUGCGUAGAUAUCAAGAGGAACACCUGAGGUGAAGACGGGUUGCUGGGCUGACACUGACGCUGAGGCGCGAAAGCUAGGGGAGCAAACGGG
This 253-nucleotide ribosomal RNA is filed under the name uncultured bacterium. RNAcentral's name for it is "partial 16S ribosomal RNA". It matches the Rfam family "Bacterial small subunit ribosomal RNA", at positions 524 to 776 of the family's 1533-position model. The record is from RNAcentral.